AUGACGCCGCGUGAGGGAUGAAGGCCUUCGGGUUGUAACCUCUUUCAGUAGGGAAGAAGCGAAAGUGACGGUACCUAAAGAAGAAGCACCGGCUAACUAUGUGCCAGCAGCCGCGGUAAUACAUAGGGUGCAAGCGUUGUCCGGAAUUAUUGGGCGUAAAGAGCUCGUAGGUCGUUGGUCACGUCGAUUGUGAAAAUCUGAGGCUCAACCUCAGACCUGCAGUCGAUACGGACUAACUAGAGUGUGGUAGGGGAGACUGGAAUUCCUGGUGUAGCGGUGGAAUGCGCAGAUAUCAGGAGGAACACCAAUGGCGAAGGCAGGUCUCUGGGCCAUAACUGACACUGAGGAGCGAAAGCGCGGGGAGCGAACAGGAUUAGAUACCCUGGUAGUCCGCGCCGUAAACGGUGGGCACUAGCUGUGGGUCCCUUCCACGGGAUCCGCGACGCAGCAAACGCAUCAAGUGCCCCGCCUGGGGAGUACGAUCGCAAGAUUACA
RNAcentral lists this ribosomal RNA (495 nucleotides) under uncultured bacterium. Its description in RNAcentral is "bacterial SSU rRNA". It matches the Rfam family "Bacterial small subunit ribosomal RNA", at positions 391 to 898 of the family's 1533-position model. The record is from RNAcentral.